AGAGCGAACGCUGGCGGCAGGCCUAACACAUGCAAGUCGAGCGCCCGUAGCAAUACGGGAGCGGCAGACGGGAGAGUAACACGUGGGAACGCGCCCUUCGGUUCGGAAUAACUCAGGGAAACUUGAGCUAAUACCGGAUACGCCCUUACGGGGAAAGAUUUAUUGCCGAAGGAACGGCCCGCGUCCGAUUAGCUUGUUGGUGAGGUAAUGGCUCACCAAGGCGACGAUCGGUAGCUGGUCUGAGAGGAUGACCAGCCUCACUGGGACUGAGACACGGCCCAGACUCCUACGGGAGGCAGCAGUGGGGAAUAUUGGACAAUGGGCGCAAGCCUGAUCCAGCCAUGCCGCGUGGAUGAUGAAGGCCCUAGGGUUGUAAAGUCCUUUUAACGGGGAAGAUAAUGACGGUACCGUAGAAUAAGCCCGGCUAACUUCGUGCCAGCAGCCGC
RNAcentral lists this ribosomal RNA (446 nucleotides) under uncultured bacterium. Its description in RNAcentral is "SSU rRNA". It matches the Rfam family "Bacterial small subunit ribosomal RNA", at positions 26 to 518 of the family's 1533-position model. The record is from RNAcentral.